ACACUGAAGGGAGGUGGUUCGGCAGAUGUAUGCAUACCGGACGCGUGAGGUGGCUGCGGGCCAGUAGCCCGCCGUCGUACUCGGUUCGGCGCCGGACCAGCGCGUGUGCGUCACGCGCGACCGGCCAAUCCAACGCAGUCACCCGGCCCGUGGGCUCGCCGGUACGUCCGGCCGGCUCCUCGUCUUCGGACGAGGACCUGAGCCCGCGGGCCGUCUGCG
RNAcentral lists this small RNA (219 nucleotides) under Streptomyces griseoaurantiacus M045. Its description in RNAcentral is "Actinobacteria sRNA Ms_IGR-5". It matches the Rfam family "Actinobacteria sRNA Ms_IGR-5". Lineage: Bacteria; Bacillati; Actinomycetota; Actinomycetes; Kitasatosporales; Streptomycetaceae. The record is from Rfam by way of RNAcentral.